GACCUCGUGGCGCAGUGGUAGCGCGUGUGAUUCCAGUUAGGGAUUCCACAAGGUCAUCCGUUCAAUCCGGGUCGAGGUCA
Jaapia argillacea MUCL 33604 is the source of this 80-nucleotide non-coding RNA. The record is from the annotation of a GenBank genome assembly. NCBI's taxonomy places the organism in Eukaryota, Fungi, Basidiomycota, Agaricomycetes, Jaapiales, Jaapiaceae.